CCAGACUCCUACGGGAGGCAGCAGUGGGGAAUAUUGCACAAUGGGGGAAACCCUGAUGCAGCGACGCCGCGUGAAGGAAGAAGUAUUUCGGUAUGUAAACUUCUAUCAGCAGGGAAGAAAAUGACGGUACCUGACUAAGAAGCCCCGGCUGACUACGUGCCAGCAGCCGCGGUAAUACGUAGGGGGCAAGCGUUAUCCGGAUUUACUGGGUGUAAAGGGGGCGCAGACGGCAAUGCAAGCCAGGAGUGAAAGCCCGGGGCCCAACCCCGGGACUGCUCUUGGAACUGCAUGGCUGGAGUACAGGAGGGGCAGGCGGAAUUCCUAGUGUAGCGGUGAAAUGCGUAGAUAUUAGGAGGAACACCGGUGGCGAAGGCGGCCUGCUGGACUGUGACUGACGUUGAGGCCCGAAGGCGUGGGGAGCAAACAGGAUUAGAUACCCGGGUAU
This 445-nucleotide ribosomal RNA is filed under the name uncultured bacterium. Its description in RNAcentral is "partial 16S ribosomal RNA". It matches the Rfam family "Bacterial small subunit ribosomal RNA", at positions 331 to 793 of the family's 1533-position model. The record is from RNAcentral.